UACGGAGGGUGCAAGCGUUGCUCGGAAUUAUUGGGCGUAAAGGGCUGGUAGGUGGUCUCAUUUGUCUGGGGUGAAAUCCUUGGGCUUAACUCAAGAAGUGCCCCAGAAACGGUGAGACUAGAGUACUGGAGAGGGUCGUGGAAUUCCCGGUGUAGCGGUGAAAUGCGUAGAGAUCGGGAGGAACACCAGAGGCGAAGGCGGCGACCUGGACAGUUACUGACACUCAACUGCGAAAGCGUGGGGAGCAAACAGG
Molecule: ribosomal RNA, 253 nt
Filed under: uncultured bacterium
Lineage: Bacteria
Description: partial 16S ribosomal RNA
Rfam family: Bacterial small subunit ribosomal RNA
Source: RNAcentral